Gopherus evgoodei (Goodes thornscrub tortoise) is the source of this 171-nucleotide long non-coding RNA. RefSeq lists it as uncharacterized. The record is from RefSeq and is a predicted model, not a curated record. The transcript has 4 exons. Lineage: Eukaryota; Metazoa; Chordata; Testudines; Testudinidae.
GCUCACUUUUAACAGCAGUAGCUUCUUCUGCUGGUGUAGAAAGAAUAUUUCCUUCCUUUGGACUAAUUUAUUCCAGAGUGAGAAAUCGUUUGGGGCAAGAAAAAGCAGGAAAGUUUGUUUUUCUUUUCCCGAUUAUGAACAAACAGGGAAAUGAAUGUGAAGAAGACUGAG